Molecule: non-coding RNA, 777 nt
Filed under: Loxostege aeruginalis
Lineage: Eukaryota; Metazoa; Arthropoda; Insecta; Lepidoptera; Crambidae
Source: RNAcentral
AAUAAAUUUUUUAUGGUUUAGUAAUUUAUUAUAAAUUUAUUUUACAUAUAAAUUUUAGUAUAUAUUUUUAAUUAUUUUAAUAAUAUUUAAAUUAAAUUUAUAGUAAUUAAUAUUAAAAAUUUAAGAAAUUAAGAUUUAGUAAUAUUUAAAUUAAUAACAAAUUUUGUGCCAGCAGUUGCGGUUAAACAAAAGUUAAAUUAAAUUUUAUUAGUAAUUAAUAUAUAAUUCAAAAUAUUUAAAUAAAUAUAAAAUUAUUAGGUGAAAUUUUUAUUUUAUUUAAUUUAAUUUUUUAUUUUAUAAUUUAAUAAAUUUUAUUAAUAAACUAGGAUUAGAUACCCUAUUAUUAAAAAUUUAAAUUAAAAAUACUAAAAUAGUAUGUAAUUAUUUAUUGAAACUUAAAUAAUUUGGCGGUAUUUUAGUUCAUUUAGAGGAAUCUGUUUAUUAAUUGAUAAUCCACGAAUAAAUUUACUUAAUUUAUAAUUUUGUAUAUCGUUGUUAAAAAAAUAUUUUUAAAUAAAAAUAAUAUUUUAAAAUUAAAAUAGAAAUUAAAUCAGAUCAAGAUGCAGAUUAUAAUUAAGAAUAUAAUGGAUUACAAUAAAUUUAUUUAAAUGGAUAUUAAUUUGUAAAAAUUAAUUGAAGGUGGAUUUAAAUGUAAUUUUAUUUAAUUUAAUAGAAUGAUUUAAAAUUAAAAUAUGUACAUAUUGCCCGUCGCUUUCAUAAAUAAAUUGGAAUAAGUCGUAACAAAGUAGAGAUACUGGAAAGUGUUUCUAGAAAUAC